CCUACGGGUGGCAGCAGUGAGGAAUAUUGGUCAAUGGGCGCGAGCCUGAACCAGCCAAGUAGCGUGAAGGAUGACUGCCCUACGGGUUGUAAACUUCUUUUAUAAAGGAAUAAAGUGAGGCACGUGUGCCUUUUUGUAUGUACUUUAUGAAUAAGGAUCGGCUAACUCCGUGCCAGCAGCCGCGGUAAUACGGAGGAUCCGAGCGUUAUCCGGAUUUAUUGGGUUUAAAGGGUGCGUAGGGGGGUGGUUAAGUCAGGUGUGAAAGUAUGCGGCUCAACCGUAGAAGUGCAAUUGAUACUGGCAGCCUUGAGUACAGUUGAGGUAGGCGGAAUGCGUGGUGUAGCGGUGAAAUGCUUAGAUAGCACGAAGAACUCCGAUUGCGAAGACAGCCUACUAAACUGCCACUGACAUUGAUGCUCGAAAGUGUGGGUAUCAAACAGGAUUAGAUACCCUGGUAGUC
This 460-nucleotide ribosomal RNA is filed under the name uncultured bacterium. RNAcentral's name for it is "partial 16S ribosomal RNA". It matches the Rfam family "Bacterial small subunit ribosomal RNA", at positions 338 to 795 of the family's 1533-position model. The record is from RNAcentral.